This is a ribosomal RNA of Lepisosteus oculatus (spotted gar), 119 nucleotides long. Lineage: Eukaryota; Metazoa; Chordata; Actinopteri; Semionotiformes; Lepisosteidae. The record is from Ensembl.
GCCAGCAGCCAUAUCACCCUGUAACUCACAACUGACAACCCACUGAAGCUAAGCAGGUGUGAGCCUGGUCAGUACCUGGAUGGGAGACCUCCUGGGAAAAACUAAGGUUGCUGCUGGAA